UCACCGCAAUGGUAAUUGAGCUUAGUACAAGAGGAACCGCUCAUUCACAUAAUUGGUUAUUACGGCUGUCUGACUGGGCAGUGCCGCAAAGCUACCAUGUGCUGGAUAAUGGCUGAACGCCUCUAAGUCAGAAUCCAUGCCAGAACGCUGUAA
Molecule: non-coding RNA, 153 nt
Filed under: Fusarium verticillioides 7600
Lineage: Eukaryota; Fungi; Ascomycota; Sordariomycetes; Hypocreales; Nectriaceae
Description: eukaryotic large subunit ribosomal RNA
Rfam family: Eukaryotic large subunit ribosomal RNA
Source: Rfam by way of RNAcentral